Molecule: long non-coding RNA, 8327 nt
Organism: Lates calcarifer (barramundi perch)
Lineage: Eukaryota; Metazoa; Chordata; Actinopteri; Centropomidae
Exons: 3
Source: RefSeq, a predicted model, not a curated record
GCAGUGGCAAAAACAAGCACUUUAGUGGACAUACUUUGACGUGGACAGUUGCCCAUUGGAUUACAUUGCAGCAGUUGCUUUGCAGUGGCCAGGUACACCGUUCCUCAUUAACACUUCACCGAUUCCAAAGAUUUAUACGGUAAAAAAAAUGCCAGAGUUAUCAUUUAACCCUCGUGUUGUCCUCUGGGUCAAAGUGACCUGGUGGAUGACAAUGUGCCUUUGUGUGUGUGUGUGUGUGUGUGUGUGUGUGUGUGUGUAGUAGGAUUUGUUGUUGUGCAUGACAGUCGUGAUUCUGAAGCGGUUAUCUUUUAUUUUUGAAUAAUAGUAAGAAGAAAAAAGUAUACGAAAUCUGAAGGGCAAUACGAAGGGCAACAGGAGGGUUAAGAUGACAUGUGCCUCUAUUCUUUAUUUUAUGUAUCUGUUAUAGUUUUAAACCUUUCUUAUUUUGUCUUUCUUGGCCGUUUUCUGGCCUCAUGAAUGUUAAAGGUGUGAAUGAUGGAAUCAGGGAAGUGAGAAGUUGUGGUUUUUAAGAAAAAAAAAGUUGUCACCCUUCGCACACAUACUAGUACACAUCAUCUCACAAACCUUCUCUCUUUGAAAAAGUCAAACUCUCACACAGGAGUUAAAGUUUUGGAGUGUUAAGUUGUAUUUCUUCCACAGAAACUGAAGGCUCAAUCUUCUCCCACUUUCCCCUCUUUAAACACUCUGUAGUUCUGUAGAAAAUCUUGCAUUUUCCAGUCAACAGCAGCUGUUUCCAAAACAAGCUGGACAAACUUUCUUAUUACAGUUAUUAUAAUCCCUUUUUAAAUCAGAGAUGAGUAAAUAAAACUGACACUUAGCUCCACAGAGGCUGCUCAGGAUUUUAAAUAUAUAAUUGACUUAUGAGACCUAAAUCAAUAAAUCCCCUCAUGACUCCACAAGUCCUGCCUGAAUCAAAUCAACAACUGUGGAAUUUUCUGGCAAAUAAAUCAAUGUGUCAACAUCAUGGGAGACGCCAUUUUUUCCUGUGACUGUAACGUGAACAGCGAACCUCUCUGUGGCCCAGACGCUCUCUGCACGCCUGUUUAAUAAUAGUGUUUUUUCCUGUAAGACUAUUUUCUUUCCUUGCUGCUACUGCUGCUGGAUGUUUGCACGCGCAUGCACACACACACACACACACACACACAAAUGCUGUAUACACACCCCUGUGUUGAUCUUGGGUGUGCAGAAAUAGAUAAACUAUUUUUACAGAUCCUGCCGAGAUUAGUCAUGAAGCCAUUUAGAGCUCAGGCAAAUGGUAGCAGCAGAAGCUAAAACAUGCAAACUUCAGCCUCCUUCACCCUCUCUCUCCCCCUCUCUCUCUCUCUCUGUCUCCUUUUACUUACCCUCUACCCCCUUUUCCCUCCCCCAGUGUGUGCUUUCAUUAUGCUGUAGUGCUGUGUAUAUAAAUAAUUAUCUAUUAUUCUUCAUUUCCAUCCCAAAGGCAGCAGACACACAGAGGUGAAAGCCUGACUUUCACAUAACAAUAAGUACAUAAUUAACCUUGAGGGAGGAGAUCUUUAACACCCCCCUCCCUCUCCUGAAGGCCCAAGCUAGCACCAAAGCUGGCUGAAGUCUCCAAGCAAAUAUCUAGCGGUAAAAAAAAAAAGAAAAGAAGAAAAUAUAUGUACAUGAAACUCGAUAUUUGCAUAUUGUUCCAGCUCUCUGUAAAUAAUCCCCACUCUGUGCACACGGCUUAUUUAAAAGCUUUACUUUAGAUAAUCAAUGUUAUAAUUAAAGAAGAAAAAUCGUCUCUUAUGUUUUAGCCGCGAUUGCAGCAGUGCAACAGAUUCUAAUCAGAGUUAAUGGGAGCAAAUUACGCUUGAUUCCCCCUCUGUCUUAUCCAGUCAUUACGCGCUGGCAUGGAAAUGAGCAGCCCUAAACGCACAAAGGCUAGAAAGCCAUUUUAAUUUCACUCCAUUUUAACUGACAGGCUUUCCAAACAGGCCACAAGCAUAAUGACUGCGGCACACGGACACAUGUAAAACACCACACACAGAGUAAUUUGUGUGUCUAUUGAGAGACGUAUCGCUGCUGUGUUUGGCUGAAUUAUGUUGGGGCAGUUUCAGAUGCCAUACUGUUAACGUUUUUAUAGCCCCUGUUGACGACACAGCGGGGAAUAUUACAGCAGUUUGUGUAAAUAUGAAUUACCUUAGUGAUGUGUUAGCGGUGAGAGCUAAAGAGCCCCACAGUGUGCUUGUGCAGUCAAUUGUUCUGACGUAGUCUGCCUUUGAUUCUGUUCUCCAUUCAUGAAAAAGCCUCUUGUGCACUGGUUAUGAAAACAAAGCCUUAUUCACUCAAGAAUAAGAUACAAACACACAUAGGUCUUCUGUAGUGUACAGGACAAACACACAACUAUAGUGAGGUUAUGCAAAUACAGAGGUUACAGCAGGGCGGCUGCUGAAAUAUGAACCAAGCUAGAGCUGUCUCUCUUACUACGACCAUCUUGUUUUACACCGUGUUUGUGUUAUUGUACCAUGCUGCUCACUCUCAGUGAAAGGUUAAAACUGUUUUUCAGACUGGCACCAGGUUAAUGGUUCACUGUAAAAACUACAGCUUAUAUUCUCAUGCAUAAAUAUCAAUUAAUAUUAAUAUUUAAAUUAUCAGUAUUUUAAGUGUAAACGGAAAUUGUGCCAUCAAAUGAAGACAGUAUUUUAUUUCAAGGAAAGUGAAUCUUAAUCAGUGAUUCAUCAUGAACAGAGAACGUUCUGCUGCUGGCUGGUUAUCACUUUCAGAGCUAAUCAUGACUUCAGUUAUUUACUCAACUCAUAUGCUUCCCAGCAUGCAUUGCAUUGAGCUUAAAGAAAUCCCUCUUUUUCCAAAUAUACACAAAGUUCCAUGACUGAGGGUUGUUACAUGUCUUUUUAUACACGUUUUAUACACACAAUACAAACCAUCUGUAAUUGAGACACUUCCUGCACUUUUCUUGUGUAAGACACUUGAGUCAUAAAGGUCACACUGAGGAAAAAAUGCUCCUCAGCUCAUUUCAUUUAUUGAACACUAAACAACAAAAGCCGUCAUGAGGGAUAAAGAAAAGGCCAAUGGGUGCAGUGUGCAGACUUGAGUUUCUUUAACUUAAGGUUGAAGUAAGCAGAAGUAUAACAUUUUGAGUGGGAUCUUGUAGAAUAAUAUGUUUAAUCAGUUAAGAGAGGAUUUUCUUUGAGUUGGCUCCAAAAUUUAAAAAAUCUAUUGCAGUAAGUUGUCUUGAAAUUUUGUGUUUUCUUAUGUUGAAAUCAUGAUAUUAGUGAGAAUAUUUCUCUGUGUCAGUAUAUGUCUCAUAAUGCAAACAUAUGCAAAACCUCAUAUCAGAUAAUAAAACUGUUCAGUGCAGUGGACCAUGUUGUACCAUGUUAUGUUAAGCAUCAACUCUUUCCCAAUGAAAGACAACAACCAAUAAUAAUAGAACAAUAAUAGAGCUCUUGUCCAGGCUUUUAAAGAUCAUUUAUUUCAAUAGGACUGACUGUGUCAGUGUAGUGUGGUGCAGCUCCACAAAAACCUGAUUCUGGUCAACUUUUACUGCAACAUCACAUCAAUGUUUGUGGUUGUAUGUGUUUGAUGUUGUCUUGUUAGAUUUUUUAAUACCUUCUGUAUGUCUGUUUCUUUUUACAGCUCAGUCUGUUACUGCUGCUUUCCCUCCUCCUUUUCUUGGGACAGCAGUGGAAAAGGACCUCUGGCUUUUUUAGUGUAAGGCUGAGUUUUUAACUGUGUCACAUUUUUUAAGCUUUUCGUUUUCUAAGAAAUGUAAUUUUAAACACUCAAACUGAAUCAAAUCUGCGGCUGUGGACAUCUAGACUGUUGCUGGCAGUGUAAAACAGUGGUGGCUUGCAGCUCCUCCCCCUGUUAAACUGAAUUUACACAGAAGCUGAGGCUACAUUGAUACCAGGUGGAUACCGCAAGAGCAGUGACUGGUCAACAUGGGUAGCUUGUGUUUUCUCCUACAAGAGAUUGUUGAUAAUAAUUACAACAUAAAGCAAUCUGAAGAGACACUCAGAUGCUCCUGGCUGGUUUAUCCAGAAACAUCACUAUAUAUCACUACCAGACUCCAUUGGACAAAAACAGGAAUUUUACUCAGCAGAACAUGAGACUUGCUGCAAUACUGUUGCCUUGAUCUGCUAGUUUGUUUGUGUUAUUGUGUGGCACUUCUACUUAUGUAAUGUAAUAAUCUGAAUACUUCCUCCACCACUGAAAAUCACACAAUAACACAAACUAACUAAACAUUUGAGGCAGCAAUAUUCCAGCAACACCUGUGUUCUGUACGGUAAAAUUCUUGUUUUUAUCAAUGGAGUCUGGUAGUGAUGUAUCAAUGUUUCUGGUUAAACAAAAAGGAUCUUACUUCAAUAAAAAGGUCUAUCUCUGUAGGAAUCCUCCAUAAGGUUGUUAGACAUGUAUAGUAACAAUCUGAGCCAGUCACAAUCAAAAACGUGGGAAAAUAUGGCCCACAUUAAAAAUGAUUUGAUGAUUUAUUGAUUGAUUGUUUGUGGUUGUUUGUAAUUUGAGCAAUAAUACCAAAUAUUUUCUCGUUCCAGCUUCUUACUUGUGAGCAUUUUUCUGCUUUUCUUUGUCUUUUACAAAAGUACACUCGUUAUUUUUAGAUUUUGGACUUUUAGUUGGGCAAACCAAAUUACAUGAAGCCAUUAUCUUGGCCUCAAGGACACUGUGAAUGGGCAUUUUAUAGACCAAAUGAUUCAUCAAAUACUCAAGAAAGUAGCUCUGAGUCAUUGCAGUAAAACAUGAUUAUUUGGAGUAUGUAAUUAAAGGCUUACAAUGUACAAAACAUCUUGCUGUGUUGCUCUAAAAGCUAAAAUCUGACCUAGAAAUCUGUUCUCAUGCUGGAGACAGCUUUCACUGGACUGACAUAAACCUGGAUCCAGAAGCAAAGAUCCACCUCCCAGUGUCAGCUGAUAAAAGCACAAUGUUUCAGAGUUCAGGGGUCACACCCAAACUAAAUCGCUGUCUUGUAAUAUUUCUCACCACGAUGCUAUUGUCAGUCUGAAUACACCCUAACACUUAAAACACAGCACUCCACUACACACUCACACACUCCUAGUGCAGGAGACAGGUCUAUCUGUGAGCGUCAUCUCCAGCAGGCUCUGGCAGGAAGCAGCGUGGUGAAUUCAUUAUGCAAAUGAUCUCUGUUGGGAUCUGUUCUGCAGAGUAGCUACUGCACCACAUGACCAUACUUAUGAUGUACCCUUAAAAAAAGCUCUUUAUAUGAAUGGUUAAAUGUAUUUCACACAGAGGGAAUUCACAGCAGGUCCACUCCUGUCUCAACAAGCUUCACCAAACCAGAGGCUUCAUACGCAGUAAAAAUACUGUAAAUAUGUAAAGUAGGGGUGAAUGACAUUUCACUCUCUGGAUCUGUGUGAAUUCAACUUUUUGGCUUUUCUGCCAGAGGCUUACAGAGAAAAAGAUUUAAUUUCAAAGAUCUGCCUUCACUUGUCAAACCUUACGUUUUUCAUGCAAUUUCUUGUUUAAAAUCUACAUAAUCUUUAAAACAAAUACACAAAAACGAGUGAAUUAUUUUUCAUUUAAACGGCACUUGUGCAGCCCAGUUAUCACAUUAUCAGUUACAGCUAAUAUUCCAAGUGCAGAAGGGACACAAAUUCACUAAAGAUGCGGUGGAAAAAUCACCACUGUUUAACUCUUUCAAGUCUUUCAAAUUACUUUUUCAUUUCUAAAAAUGAGAAAAUGACACAACAGAAGCGCUCGCAGUGCUGCAGACUCAUGCGCUGUUCUUGCAAACGGAGACACUGAUUAAUUCAGGCGCUGAUUUGAUGAGCACAAAAGCUUUGCUGAACGCAUCAGUUAGCAGGGGAGCAUUUGAAGUGGAGGAGCAGAGAGAGAGAUUGUGUGUGUAUGUGUGUUUGUGUUUGUGUGUGGGUGAGUUUCAUGAGUGAGUAAGCAGGUUUGACGAGGAAUUUAGGUGUGCUUAUCAUAUGUGGUUUGUCCAAUUCAAAUACUUUAAAUCCUGGUUUCUGCACAUUGUCCCAAACACAGAGAGGAAAAAAGUUUUCAGAGGUGGAGUUUGUCAAAAAUUUUGGGAUUGAGCCUCAAAGGGGGAAUUUUGAAAACUACUGCAGCGUUACCAGGAAACCAAUCAAAAGCCUGUGUAGUACAGACUCAUUGUGAAACUGUGUUUGAAGAUCUCAGGGUGAAAAAAUCAGUGUCUCCUUUUAAAUUUCUUCUUAAAGCUCAGUUUGCUGUGACGGCCUUCAGCUAAUUAACAUGUUUAAAGCAGUUUAUUUUAUUCUGUGUUGCCACUUACAGAUCUUUUAUUUGAUUCUGAAACAAUGACACUUGUAAAAUGUGAAAAAUAUAAAGUUGGUAUUAUGUUAUUGUCAUAAUAUUUGAUAUUCUGUUGUAAUUCAUUUAGUGGAUUUAUCAAAUGACAAGCUGCUGCUUUUUCUAUUUCAUAUCCUUGUUCUCCCAAAUUGUGAAAAAAAUUACACUGUUUUAUUUGGUUUUAUUUGGCAAGAUAUCUGCUUUCAAGAUUUCUGCCACCAUACAAAUCCAACAGAGAUGAACUGAAGAUUUGUGGCGCUCACGGCAUUGACUUAAAUGACUAUUUCAGUUAAAUUAAGUAGGAACAAGCACUGUAUCUUUCCAGAAAAGGUGUCUCUGUUACUCAUUUGUGUUAAACACCACAAUGAGAACAGGCUUCAUGGGGACUAUGAGUACUCUCACAUCGCAGGCCUUAAUGCUCAAUAUUAAUUUUUCUGUCUGUGUUGAUGAUUCACAUUCAUGUUUGUGUUUGUAGGUGUCAGCAGGCCCAUGUUUCGAGCGCUGGCAGUGUAUGAGGUGACUAUUUUUAAGGGGGAUGGCAACCCAGUUCAAAUCAGUUUCAAACCUGCCUUUCCACAUUAUGGUUUCUAUAAUCCACUGAGAUGUGAAUACAGACAUUUAUGAACCGCCUGCUGCUGCAUAGGGGAGUCGGUUAAAAGACCAGCCGCUGAUUGAAAAGGACGUAUGGAGCUGGUGUGAGAGCGAGGACAACUGAGUCCGGUGGAAACAUAUCCAGGUCGUCUCCACAACAACAGAGGCGCAUGCUAUCCAUCAGCAUGGAAGUGUCGAGAAAAUAAAUGGUCUGAACAAGGCUGGGGAGGGUGAGUCAUCUAUCUGGGGGUGAGAGAGGGGGCUGCUGCAGGUGGAAAUGUCACUGCUGUAAAAGCUUUGCCAAAGUUGUGAUAUUGUGAAAGGGACAAUGAGAGGAAUGGCUGCUGGAUAAAGUUAAGAAUGACAUUUUAUUUUGAAAAGGUUGAGGUGAGGAGGAAAAGAUGCUCUUAGAGGCUAAAGAUGGCCGUUCUACAAAAUAACUGACAGUGAGUGAACUUGAUGGUGAGGGUGUGAGGCAUCGGUUAGAAAAGCGGCAGUUGAGCUGUCUUAACAGUCGGAACACUUCAAGGAAAACCUGUCUUUCCACUCAGUUUAUUUAAAGCAUUCUUUGAGCGAAGAUGGGAGGUGUUCACGUGUUUGUGUGUUUGUAUGUUUGUAUGUGUGUGUGUACAUCAAGGUCAGCUGACCUUUUGUGUUACUAUCUAAUAUCUUUAAGUGUCCAAAUAUUUUCCUAUUCAGGAUGUCAGAGCUUUUAAAAAAACAGCUGCAUACCACAGACAAAGUCUGCUAAUGUACUGUACUGAAAUUAAAUUACAUACUUAUACAUUACAUAUAAAUAUAUAUAAAAUAUUCCCGUUAAGUAUGAUUAUUGCAUGUUAUGAGGCACGUGUGUAUGAUAAUUGCAAGAAAAAAUCAUGUUAAGGCUGAUUGUUUUCAUUUUUGACAGAAUUGCUUUCUUUUUUUUUCUUCUUCUUUUAGAAAAAAGAUUUAAACUGAUUGUUAUGGCAAGUUAUAGCAUAAGGCAAACAAUAAGGAUAAAGGCAUAAAAAAAAAAGAUUUUGGCACAGAUUUCAAGGAACUUUGCAUCAAAAAAAAAACAAGUUCCUGUUCUGUAUGUCUAAAAUAGGGAAGAUGCAAAUUUAUCAGCAAAUUAUAUGACAGACUCGUUCAUUUAGUAAAGAAAGUACAAUAACUGGCUAUAGUCAGUAGUUUGUGCUAAAGCUGUGUUUUUAAGAUCCUGUUUUCACCUUGAUUAUAAUGUAAUGCAGAAUUAUGGUCCAGUGUGACUUUAAAAAAUAGGCCAGGGAGGAAUCUCCUUCAGAUUUCAUGUGUUAUGUGAUUUUGCUGAUACUUAUCUAACCCCCAGUGUGUGUGUGUGUGUGUGCGUGCGUGUGUGUGUGUGUGUGUGUGUGUGUGUGUGUGUGUGUGUGUGUGUGUGUGUAAGAGAUCACAUGUGUUCGCAUCAAAGUGUUUCU